UUUCUGCUUGGACUUUGACUACAAAUGGAAUAUGAAAGACUGGAGUGAAGGGUAGUUGGUAAAGGAAGACAUUACAGAUCCAGCAAGGAGCCUCCCAGAUGGAGUACAUGGAGACCAUGACUGUGAAAGAUGAGGAUCAAGUGCAGAUUUGGUGGCCUCUGAUUGCCAGUAUCUGGCAGCCACAUUCUCUUCCCACAAGAUGUGCUGGAAAUAUGACCAAGCAGAAGUUCACUUAAGUGAAUCCAACAGUUAAACCUACCAUGGAAGGGUGUGGUGCACAGAGGGCAUGUGGAGAAGAGAAGACCACAGUGGGAACCUCCAAGGAACUAACAUCUAGCUGGGGAUGAGGGGGGAUUUGGCUAUGUAGAGAGUAAAUAAAGUGAUAUGAGAAUUAAAGUAAGGGGCCAGUUAUUUCCAAAUGGGGAAAUGGGGCAGGCUUCAUGGAGAAGGGAACGUUUAAUCUGGGUCACAUGGAAUGAAUAGGACUGGAAAUGGAGUUUAUAAGAGCGAGAAUAUUUUACUUAGAGGAAACUACAUUUAAAGAAAGGAUGGCUGUGUAGGUGUAUUGCUUCUUUGCAGAUACAUACAAUUUAAUAUGCCUGGAGUGCAGAUUCUAUGUGACUGAGGUGAGUAGGGACAAAGGGAGAGAUGAUUCAGAGAGGCAGAUAGAGGAAAAUCAUGCAGGGCUUAAUUUCUAGGAUAAAAGUUGGUGACUUUUUCAUGGGUGUGUGUGUCAGGGAAGAGGGUAAAAUUAUAGUGAGUAAAAGCACAGACUUUGGGAUCAAAGUAAUGGGUUUCCAUCAUGACUCUGCUUCUCCCUGGUGAUAUCAACUUGUGUGAAUAUGUAAUGACUCUGACCUUCAGUUUUUUCAUCAAUAAAUGAUAAGCAAUAAUACUAAUUUAAUAGAGACUUUCUGAGGAACAAAUAAGACUAUGUACCCAAAGGACUUAGAUUAGGACCUGCCACUCAGUAACAACACUCAGUAGAUGUGAUCAUGCUAUAGAGGACAGAAAUUCCUCUAAUCCCAACACAGACACUCUCUUUAGCUGCAAAUAUGAUGUCCCCUCUCCCCUAGAUAAGGCAAACUGAUCCUGCUGGGCCUAGCUGGUUGCCAGAUGGAUUAGAACACUGGACUCAGAACAGACUUCCAUGAUAUCUUUAAGAAAAACUCACAUCAAAGUCAUGUAGAAUGUACAAUAGAAUUAUCAAUGAGGAAGGGAGAAUCUGGAAAGAAGGCAACCAAAAGCCAAAGG
This 1254-nucleotide long non-coding RNA is filed under the name Homo sapiens (human). Its description in RNAcentral is "HSALNT0191866". Lineage: Eukaryota; Metazoa; Chordata; Mammalia; Primates; Hominidae. The record is from RNAcentral.